Molecule: long non-coding RNA, 737 nt
Filed under: Homo sapiens (human)
Lineage: Eukaryota; Metazoa; Chordata; Mammalia; Primates; Hominidae
Description: non-protein coding LEF1-AS1:6
Source: RNAcentral
CGUCUGUAGCUCGGCGCAGCCACGCGGGGCUCCAGCGAGCGGGGUCCGCCACCCCUCGCGCCCUCCUGCGGCUUUCCCAGCGCUGGGCCAGUGCAGGCCGAGCCCUGCGUCCCUGCCUCGCUGGGUGGGGGUCCGGGGCGCGGCUGUCCACAGGGCCGCCUCCUCCUGCGGCCCGCGGGGAAGGGGCGCAUCCCACCCCGCUCUGCAGGCCGCCCUUCUGCCAGCUGGGAGGCGAGGGCACACGUCCUAAGGCUGCCCAAGGGGGAGAGGAAUCGCGCCGGUAGGAGAGCGCACGGGAACCAGGAACGCAAGGCGGGCACAGGGGAGCCGAAGGAGCCAGACAGGGCCCGGCCACGCGCCCUCCUCGCUCGGCUGCGCUCCGUGACGGGAACCCAGGCUCCCACGCACGGGGAAUGCCUAGAACGGAGCUAGAAUGGAGGCCCCUUUGUGUGACUAAAUUUGGCAAGAAUAUGGAUCUGAGCCAGUCUUUCCACGUGUGCUCCCAGCUCCCAGCUGAGAAGGCCAAGGGUUCUCUUCCGGUGCUCCAGGAAAGUACCUGAUUGACAAGAUCUACAUCCAAUGCCCAGAAAACACAUCCUACACAGGCACAGUGAAGCGUGGAGUUGAAGAAUUUUCCAGUGAGUUCCAUCAAAGUAAAUAAACCAACCUAGAGCAUCAGGAUUGAGCCUCCUUUUUCUCAUGACAUGACUUUUGAGUGUCCUUGGGAAUGGUUUGUA